GUGAAUGCCCCAGGUCCUGCCUCGGUGAUGGAGGCAGCCCUGAAACAAGAGAAUGUACAAGCAAGGCACUCCAGGCGGGGGCUGGUCCCAUCCCCCACCCGGAGCCCACGCUGGAAAGGAGGGACGUUACGUUUCCACGUUGAAAGCCCUGCCGCCCAUGUUAUCUCCCUUCCCAGGUGAACACCAAGACUUUGCACUCAUCAAAGGUUGGGCAGGAUUCAGGAACAGACAGGUUGAGUGACCUGUCCAAGGUCACACAGCCAGCCAGGUAAAGGGAGAAGCAGGGAUGGGUGGCGGCCCUGGGCCCAUCCUCCUGCAGCGCCGGCCAAAUAGGCUCCAUCUCCACGGAACGGGCCGCUCCCGAAGGUCUCUGACCUUGGUUUCCCCAGUGCUCCUGGUUCUCCGGCCAUCAGAACUGGAUCACAUCUACAGCAGCAGAUCUCCUGCUCUCAGGCCUUCACACUAUACCACCGGCUUUCCUGGGUCUCCAGCUUGCAAAGGGUAAAUCACUCCCAGCCUCCACAAUCAUAGAACCCUAAGACACCACCUUAACCAGGUGAUCAAAAUAAAUGUUACCAAUGCCAUGGCAAACUGACAGCAUGAGCCACCAGUUGUGAUACACUGAAAAGGACACAGAGUCACUUACGUGGUAUUCCUACGAAAAACUCCUAUCCUGAUCCUGAAUCUAAUAAUGAGGAAUGAAUACAAAACUAAGGGACAUUUUAUAAAACAACUGACUCAUACUCUUCAAAGAUGUCAGUGUCACAAAAGACAAAAGAAAAAAAUGCUGAAAGGACUGUUCCAGAUAAAAGAGACUGAGUUAUUAUCAACUAAAUACAACGUGUGAUUCUGGGUUCGAUAUGGGAUCAUUUCUUUAAAGCCAUAAUGAGCCAGCCAUGAUGGUUCAUGCCUGUAAUCCCAGCACUUUGGGAGGCCGAGGCGGGUGGAUCAUCUGAGGUCAGGAGUUCGAGACCAGCCUGGCCAACAUGGUGAAACCCCGUCUCUACUAAAAAUAUGAAAAUUAGCUGGGCAUAGUGGUAGGCACCUGUAAUUCCAGCUACUUGGGAGG
Molecule: long non-coding RNA, 1069 nt
Organism: Symphalangus syndactylus (siamang)
Lineage: Eukaryota; Metazoa; Chordata; Mammalia; Primates; Hylobatidae
Source: RefSeq, a predicted model, not a curated record